RNAcentral lists this ribosomal RNA (457 nucleotides) under uncultured Gammaproteobacteria bacterium. RNAcentral's name for it is "partial 16S ribosomal RNA". Lineage: Bacteria; Pseudomonadati; Pseudomonadota; Gammaproteobacteria. The record is from RNAcentral.
AAACGUUAGCUGCGCCACUGAAAGACAUUGUCUCCCAACAGCUAGUUGUCAUCGUUUACGGCGUGGACUACCAGGGUAUCUAAUCCUGUUCGCUACCCACGCUUUCGCACCUCAGUGUCAGUACAGAACCAGGAAGCUGCCUUCGCCAUUGGUAUUCUUCACAAUAUCUACGCAUUCCACCGCUACACUGUGAAUUCUACUUCCCUCUUUCGUACUCUAGUGAACUAGUUUUGGAUGCAGUUCCUAGGUUGAGCCCAGGGCUUUCACAUCCAACUUAAUAAACCACCUACGCGCGCUUUACGCCCAGUAAUUCCGAUUAACGCUUGGACCUUCCGUAUUACCGCGGCUGCUGGCACGGAAUUAGCCGGUCCUUAUUCUGUAGUAACAUCAAGGAUUGCAGGUAUUAACUACAAUCUUUUUCUCCUUACUUAAAGUGCUUUACAACCCUAGAGCCUUC